RNAcentral lists this ribosomal RNA (433 nucleotides) under uncultured bacterium. Its description in RNAcentral is "partial 16S ribosomal RNA". It matches the Rfam family "Bacterial small subunit ribosomal RNA", at positions 29 to 507 of the family's 1533-position model. The record is from RNAcentral.
AACGAACGCUGGCGGCAUGCCUAACACAUGCAAGUCGAACGAGACCUUCGGGUCGAGUGGCGCACGGGUGCGUAACGCGUGAGAACCUGCCCUUAGAUUCGGAAUAACUCCCCGAAAGGGGUGCUAAUACCGGAUAAUGUCUUCGGACCAAAGAUUUAUCGCCGUUGGAUGGGCCGGCGUUGCGUUAGCUAGGUGGUAGGGUAAAAGCCUACCAAGGCGACGAUCCAUAGCUGGUCUGAGAGGAUGAUCCGCCACACUGGGACUGAGCCACGGCCCAGACUCCUACGGGAGGCAGCAGUGGGGAAUCUUGGCCAAUGGGCGAAAGCCUGAUCCAGCAAUGCCGCGUGAGUGAUGAAGGCAUUAGGGUUGUAACGCUCUUUUACCCGGGAUGAUAAUGACAGUACCGGGAGAAUAAGCUCCGGCUAACUCCGUG